This 27-nucleotide non-coding RNA is filed under the name Rattus norvegicus (Norway rat). Lineage: Eukaryota; Metazoa; Chordata; Mammalia; Rodentia; Muridae. The record is from RNAcentral.
UAAGGACCUGUCUAGGGCUACACCUGG